UUUCCGUAGGUGAACCUGCGGAAGGAUCAUUAAAAAAUUGGACUCCAUUGGUGAGUUCAUUAAUAAUCCCUACCCUUUGUGAAUUUGUUUGUUUGAAUAAUUUUUUUUCCAAAAAAAAUUAUUGAAUGUCUUUCCUUGUUUUGGUGGAGCUUGUAAAGUGAAACCAGGCAGGGGAAUGGCAAACAAUAAUUAUUUUUGAAAAAGACCUUUUUUUAAAAUUAAACUUUUUGUAUUCAUUUGUCUAAAAUUAAUUUUUAUAAUAUAAAAACAACUUUUGACAAUGGAUCUCUUGGUUCUCGCAACGAUGAAGAACGCAGCAAAAUGCGAUAAGUAGUGUGAAUUGCAGAAUACGUGAAUCAUCGAAUCUUCGAACGCAUAUUGCACUUUUUUAGUUUACUAAAAAAGUAUGUCUGUUUGAGUAUCAGUAAAAUAUUCUCAUAAAAAACAUUGUUUUUUUUAUGGUUAUGAGUGUUUUACAACGAUAACAAGUUGUUUCACUUUAAAUUCUUUGUUAUCAAAAAAAUCAUUAAAAGCUAAUUUUAAAGAUUUUUUAAAAUUGGAUAAAAUUUUCCCGUAAAAAGGAAUAACCUAAACAAUUUUAAAAAAUUAAAAUUGGUUUGAUUUUUUUUGAAACCCAAAGGAAAAAAAAACGAAAUUAACUUGAUCUCAAAUCAGAUAAGAGUACCCGCUGAACUCAAGCAUAUCAAUAAGCGGAGGAAAAGAAACUAACUAGGAUUCCCUCAGUAACGGCGAGUGAAGCGGGAAGAGCUCAAAUUUGAAAUCUUCAAGGUUUUACCUUGACGAAUUGUAGUUUAAAGAAGUGUUUUCUGUUGGAGUUUUGGUAAAAGUUCUUUGGAAAAGGACAUCAUAGAGGGUGAGAAUCCCGUAUUUGACCAUUAUCUCCAGCUUUGUGAUACACUUUCAAAGAGUCGGAUUGUUUGGGAAUGCAGUCCAAAAUGGGUGGUAAAUUUCAUCUAAAGCUAAAUACUGGCGAGAGACCGAUAGCGGACAAGUACCGUGAGGGAAAGAUGAAAAGAACUUUGAAAAGAGAGUUAAACAGUACGUGAAAUUGUCAAAAGGGAAGCGUUUGACACCAGUGUUGUUUUCUCGAAAAUCGAUUAAAAAAGGCCGGAUUUUGUGUUGUAUUGACUUUAUCAGCUUUCUGCACUCUUUUCUUGUCUUUUUUAAUGCACUUUUCGUUUAACAAGUCAACAUCAAUUUCUUUUGUUGUAAAAGGGUCAUUGGAAGGUGGCUUUCUUUUCGGAGAAAGUGUUUAUAGCCUUUGGCCUCUGCAAUCGGAGAGAUUGAGGUCUGCAGCGUAGAUCCUUCGGGUUAGAUACAUUUGUGCUAAGUUAUAGCCUUUCAUAGACAACUUGUUGACUAUGAUCAGUCAUGUAGCUUACUCGCUUAUGCUAUUU
RNAcentral lists this unclassified non-coding RNA (1418 nucleotides) under uncultured Neocallimastigales. Its description in RNAcentral is "partial contains small subunit ribosomal RNA, internal transcribed spacer 1, 5.8S ribosomal RNA, internal transcribed spacer 2, and large subunit ribosomal RNA". The stretch from base 662 to 1418 matches the Rfam family "Eukaryotic large subunit ribosomal RNA", at positions 1 to 617 of the family's 3401-position model. Lineage: Eukaryota; Fungi; Neocallimastigomycota; Neocallimastigomycetes; Neocallimastigales. The record is from RNAcentral.